UGCAUGUUGGUCAAUGAGUAGCUCCAAAGGAAGGUGUUUCCCCUUUCAUGAAAAUUAAAUUGAUCUGGGCUCUUCAGGACAUUGCUGACUGUGCUGAAAUGGGGCAGAAACUGAACAUUUCUGUGCCCAGAAAUGCACUACAAUGCUGAAUACUGCACCCUUCUGCCCGCCCUAAAUCAGCCAGAAGGAAUCAGGAUCUGGAGAAUGGGGAAACUGGCCACAAUGUUUCUGCUACAACUUGCUGAGGCACAAAGGACAACUCUGUAGUAAAGAGUACGUAGCCACACCCAAGUGAGCUCAGAGUUCGUGUCAACAUGAUGGAACCGCGUUUCAGGCCAGAGUGCUUCAAAGGACUCGCUGAGAUUUUAAAUACAGACCAGAGAACGUGAGGCCGUGGUCCACAUGUUGAAAUGGCUAAAACUACAAGACUAGAAAAUGGUAAGACCCUCUGAAACUCUCGACGAGAGAAGAAGGUAAAGAUCAAACAUUCACAGUCUGCAGCUGGGUACCUAAAGUAGUCUAGGACAAAGACGAGAAGGAAGAAAAGGUCCUGCUCACCACUGUGUGGAACACCUGAAGUAUCCAUUCUAAGAAGGACAUUGUGACCUCUGGUGGACAACCAGAGACUUACAUUGAACUACUCCCCAUAGACGGAUCGAAUGGUUUCAACAGAGAGACGACAGAGAAAGACAUCUACGCAUAAAUCUAUUUUGCAUUUCUAAUCAAAAUGAGCAGUUGUUAGGGUGCUAAAUGUUCAUAUUCCUGUAAACGUAGCUUCCAAAUGUAUAUACGAUAAGUUGACUCUUUUUGUCUCCCCCUCUCCUUACCACCCCUCCCUUUCCAUUGCGUAACCAAAUGGUCAUGCUUUUGAUAGUCCACUAGAGACCUGUUUUCAUUUAUUUUUGUUAGUAAUCAAUAACCUAUACCGUGUGUGUGUGUGUUUAUGUAUUUCUGUGUGAUUAUUUAGUUAGUUAGUCAGUAAAUAAAUAAUUAAGCCAA
Molecule: long non-coding RNA, 999 nt
Organism: Oncorhynchus masou masou (cherry salmon)
Lineage: Eukaryota; Metazoa; Chordata; Actinopteri; Salmoniformes; Salmonidae
Exons: 2
Source: RefSeq, a predicted model, not a curated record